Molecule: non-coding RNA, 45 nt
Filed under: Schistosoma mansoni
Lineage: Eukaryota; Metazoa; Platyhelminthes; Trematoda; Strigeidida; Schistosomatidae
Source: RNAcentral
AUCCAAUUGAUGAGUCCCAAUUAGGAUGAAACGCGCAUCCUGGAU